UACGUAGGGUGCGAGCGUUGUUCGGAAUCAUUGGGCGUAAAGCGAGCGUAGGUGGUUUGCUAAGUCGGGUGUGAAAUCCCUGGGCUCAACCCAGGAAGUGCAUUCGAAACUAGCUGGCUAGAAGAUGGUAGAGGAAGGUGGAAUUCCAAGUGUAGAGGUGAAAUUCGUAGAUAUUUGGAGGAAUACCGGCGGCGAAGGCGGCCUUCUGGACCAUUCUUGACACUGAGACUCGAAAGCGUGGGUAGCAAACAGG
Molecule: ribosomal RNA, 253 nt
Filed under: uncultured bacterium
Lineage: Bacteria
Description: partial 16S ribosomal RNA
Rfam family: Bacterial small subunit ribosomal RNA
Source: RNAcentral